Long non-coding RNA from Oxyura jamaicensis (ruddy duck), 621 nucleotides. RefSeq lists it as uncharacterized. Lineage: Eukaryota; Metazoa; Chordata; Aves; Anseriformes; Anatidae. The record is from RefSeq and is a predicted model, not a curated record. The transcript has 3 exons.
ACACUGAUACGCUUUCCAGGGCAUGGCUCGGUGGGGCUGGUGGAGCUUCUCCCACUCUGUAAGCAAGGAACUCAGCUUUCCCUGUCCCUGUGAGGUUGUCCACCUGUGGCUGAUGCUCUUACACCCCCUAUGUGCAUUGCUAAAAUGAGAACAAGUUCCCUGAAGCAAAUAAAGAAACAAGGCAUUGAGCAGACAAAUAUCUAUGUAUUUCCAACAGGAAUAAGUGGGAUAUGUUUAGAUUUGCUGUUGCAGCUCUUGGUGCAGGUUCAUCUUUGAUUCAGGAAGAAAAAGGAGCUUGGAAAAAAAAACAGACUUUGCUAACCAGGAGGAGACUGUCACGUCUGCCAGAUGAUCUGUGAAGAUCCUGUAUUGAGAUCUUUAGUCAGAGUGUGAAGAAGGAAUGAGACUCUUUCGCCUCCUAAAAUAAGGAGAGGAUAUAGUCCAAAAGGUGCAAGCGUGGCUGAAUCGGGACCAUGGACACGCGUCUGACAGAGGAGACAUGAAAAGCAGAGGAGCUUUCCACUUGUUUGAAGGUUUCCACCGCGUGGAAAUGCUUCUGUAAUCACCAUGCCCAGAACUAAUAAUGAAAAUGGCGUUUUAGCUACAAACGAAGCAAAAAAU